CCAGCAACAUAGCUUACUUUCAACCUAUCUUUUAUCAGAAUUUACUGGACUAUCUCUUGCACUAAACGUUAUUCCCUUAUCCUAUAUCUGUACACUCUGGACAGCUUGAUUGUAAUCAUGUAAUCUUUCCACUGGCUGGACAGCACGCACCAACAAAG
Molecule: long non-coding RNA, 158 nt
Organism: Amblyraja radiata (thorny skate)
Lineage: Eukaryota; Metazoa; Chordata; Chondrichthyes; Rajiformes; Rajidae
Exons: 3
Source: RefSeq, a predicted model, not a curated record